ACGGAGGGUGCAAGCGUUAUCCGGAAUCAUUGGGUUUAAAGGGUCCGCAGGCGGAUUUAUAAGUCAGUGGUGAAAUCCUACAGCUUAACUGUAGAACUGCCAUUGAUACUGUAAGUCUUGAAUUCGGUCGAAGUGGGCGGAAUAUGUCAUGUAGCGGUGAAAUGCUUAGAUAUGACAUAGAACACCGAUAGCGAAGGCAGCUCACUAGGCCUGGAUUGACGCUCAGGGACGAAAGCGUGGGGAGCGAACAGG
RNAcentral lists this ribosomal RNA (252 nucleotides) under uncultured bacterium. RNAcentral describes it as "partial 16S ribosomal RNA". It matches the Rfam family "Bacterial small subunit ribosomal RNA", at positions 525 to 776 of the family's 1533-position model. The record is from RNAcentral.